AUCCAGUUGACGAGUCCCAAAUAAGACGAAACGUGAGUCCUGGAU
RNAcentral lists this non-coding RNA (45 nucleotides) under Schistosoma bovis. The record is from RNAcentral. RNAcentral also lists the same sequence under 1 other name. Lineage: Eukaryota; Metazoa; Platyhelminthes; Trematoda; Strigeidida; Schistosomatidae.